Molecule: ribosomal RNA, 459 nt
Filed under: uncultured bacterium
Lineage: Bacteria
Description: partial 16S ribosomal RNA
Rfam family: Bacterial small subunit ribosomal RNA
Source: RNAcentral
CCUACGGGUGGCAGCAGUGAGGAAUAUUGGUCAAUGGUCGGGAGACUGAACCAGCCAAGCCGCGUGAGGGAGGACGGUCCAGAGUAUCGUAAACCUCUUUUGUCAGGGAACAAAGACUGGGACGCGUCCCCGGAUGAGUGUACCUGAAAAAAAAGCAUCGGCCAAUUCCCUGCCAGCAGCCGCGGUAAUACGGAGGAUGCGAGCGGUAUCCGGAUUUAUUGGGUUUAAAGGGUGCGCAGGCGGUCUGUUAAGUCAGCGGUCAAAGCCCGGGGCUCAACCCCGGCCCGCCGUUGAAACUGGCAGUCUCGAGUUGGAGAGAAGUAUGCGGAAUGCGCGGUGUAGCGGUGAAAUGCAUAGAUAUCGCGCAGAACUCCGAUUGCGAAGGCAGCAUGCCGGCUCCACACUGACGCUGAGGCACGAAAGCGUGGGUAUCGAACAGGAUUAGAUACCCCAGUAGUC